This 497-nucleotide ribosomal RNA is filed under the name uncultured bacterium. Its description in RNAcentral is "partial 16S ribosomal RNA". It matches the Rfam family "Bacterial small subunit ribosomal RNA", at positions 28 to 507 of the family's 1533-position model. The record is from RNAcentral.
GAUGAACGCUGGCGGCGUGCCUAAUACAUGCAAGUCGAGCGAACAGACGAGGAGCUUGCUCCUCUGACGUUAGCGGCGGACGGGUGAGUAACACGUGGAUAACCUACCUAUAAGACUGGGAUAACUUCGGGAAACCGGAGCUAAUACCGGAUAAUAUAUUGAACCGCAUGGUUCAAUAGUGAAAGACGGUUUUGCUGUCACUUAUAGAUGGAUCCGCGCCGCAUUAGCUAGUUGGUAAGGUAACGGCUUACCAAGGCAACGAUGCGUAGCCGACCUGAGAGGGUGAUUCGCCCCCCCUGAACCUGAACCACGGCCCGGCCUCCACGGGAGGCCGGCGUAGGGAAAUUUUCCCAAAUGGCGAAAGCCUGACGGAGCAACGCCGCGUGAGUGAUGAAGGUCUUCGGAUCGUAAAACUCUGUUAUUAGGGAAGAACAAAUGUGUAAGUAACUAUGCACGUCUUGACGGUACCUAAUCAGAAAGCCACGGCUAACUACAUG